RNAcentral lists this ribosomal RNA (398 nucleotides) under uncultured bacterium. RNAcentral's name for it is "partial 16S ribosomal RNA". It matches the Rfam family "Bacterial small subunit ribosomal RNA", at positions 523 to 918 of the family's 1533-position model. The record is from RNAcentral.
AUGCGUAGGGUGCGAGCGUUGUCCGGAAUUACUGGGCGUAAAGAGCUCGUAGGUGGUUUGUCGCGUCGUCUGUGAAAUUCCGGGGCUUAACUCCGGGCGUGCAGGCGAUACGGGCAUAACUUGAGUACUGUAGGGGAGACUGGAAUUCCUGGUGUAGCGGUGAAAUGCGCAGAUAUCAGGAGGAACACCGGUGGCGAAGGCGGGUCUUUGGGCAGUAACGGACGCUGAGGAGCGAAAGAAUGGGUAGCGAACAGGAUUAGAUACCCUGGUAGUCCAUGCCGUAAACGGUGGGCGCUAGGUGUAGGGGUCUUCCACGACUUCUGUGCCGUAGCUAACGCAUUAAGCGCCCCGCCUGGGGAGUACGGUCGCAAGGCUGAAACUCAAAUGAAUUGGCGGGG